AAAAUACAUUUCCUGUGUUGACUUCAAAAACUUUAGAAUACUGUCUGCCUUUUCAUUGGUAAUUGUAUCAUCUUCCUCGCUGGCGUCUGCACCGUCCUCCUCCCCGGAGUCUGCACCCUCUUCCUCCGUAGCCCGUGUCAGGUCUUCCUCGCUGGCGUCCGCACCGUCCUCCUCCCUGGCGUCUUUAACGUCUUCCUCCCCGGCCGGUGUCGGAUCUUCCUCACUGGCGUCCGCACCCUCUUCCUCCGUAGCCCGUGUCAGGUCUUCCUCAUUGGUGUCCACACCGUCCUCCUCCCUGGCGUCUUUAACGUCUUCCUCCCCGGCCGGUGUCGGAUCUUCCUCACUGGCGUCCGCACCCUCUUCCUCCGUAGCCCGUGUCAGGUCUUCCUCGCUGGCGUCCGCACCGUCCUCCUCCCUGGCGUCUUUAACGUCUUCCUCCCCGGCCGGUGUCGGAUCUUCCUCACUGGCGUCCGCACCCUCUUCCUCCGUAGCCCGUGUCAGGUCUUCCUCGCUGGCCUCCGCACCGUCCUCCUCCCUGGUGUCUUUAACGUCUUCCUCCCCGGCCGGUGUCGGAUCUUCCUCGCUGGCGUCCACACCAUCCUCCUCACCAGCCUCUCCCACGCCUUCCCCUUCAUUGCUGCUGUCCUCGGGCUGGUACAUGAAACUGACACCAGCAGCCUUUGCUGCCAAGCCGGCUGCUUUCUUCCUUUUAAUUUGCUGUUUCUUUUUCAGUUUCCUUUUUUUAUUUUUGCUUAUUGUGGUGCCAUCUGUGUGCUGUUGCUGAGAUUUCUCCUGUAACAGACUCUGCUGUUUCUCUAAUUCUGCUUGUUCUAUAAGAACACUAUUGGGAUUUUUAAAUUUUUUCUUUGAUUUAUGCUUCCUAAUUCUUCUUC
RNAcentral lists this long non-coding RNA (893 nucleotides) under Pan troglodytes (chimpanzee). RNAcentral's name for it is "long non-coding RNA NONPTRT016515". Lineage: Eukaryota; Metazoa; Chordata; Mammalia; Primates; Hominidae. The record is from RNAcentral.